GGGUACAUCAGCCUCUGAAUCAGCACUGUAUCCCAGAGUUUCUUAAGAAUGUAACUGUAUGCUACGCAGAGUGAGCGUGCCUAUUGUUUAAAGAUUCAUAAGGCAGAAGCUGGCUGAUUCUGAGCUCCGGGUCACUUUGGGGCACAGAAUGAGACCCUGUCUACUGAGCCCUAGCACCAGGUUGGAAAAAGUAUUCUUAGACACUGUAUAUAUUGCAUCUGUUCAAGAAAAUUGCAAGAUACAAUGAACUUUUCAAGACUCAUUCAUUACCUUUCUACCAUUUUUAAUAUAUUCUCAUGGAUAUGAGAUCAUUGAAUACCAUUUUCUUCAUAGUUGUCCUAUAAACUUGUAUCAUCUUUACAAGUAUACUUUUUUUAACCUCAAUCAUAGUUUCCUAGAUCCAGAGCUUCUUGAAAUAAAAUGCAAAUCUUCUCUCCAACGUGUUCAAAAGAAGGGAUUGAAGAUAAAUAGAUGACUCUGAAGUCUCAGAAAGCCCUAACACAUGAGUUCUAACCCAUGAAUUCUUCACAGAACAGAUUUCUGAAUCCUCUUCUAGAAGUUACCAAUCAUAUUUGCUUGUAGAAGCCAUAGUUGAAUACACUUGUGAUCUAACAGCUUAUAUUAUCAAUGUGAGUCUUAUUGACAGGCCAAAGUAUACCUUGGUUAAUUAGUUUUAAAUUAAAAAAAAAAAAGUAGUUAUAACUGGGCAUGAUCAUACAGGUCUUUAAUCCCAGCACCCACAAGGCAGAGGCAGGAGGAUUUCUGAGUUCAAGGCCAGUCUUGUCUAGUCUAAGGACAGCCAGGGCUAUGUAGAGACACCCUGACUCAAAAACAAACAAAUGGGACUGGGGGAUGAUGGCUCAGUGGUUACAAGCACUAGCUGCUCUUCCAGAGGACCCAGGUUGGUCUGUGGCCAUACCACCGUAAUAGUAAAAGGCGACUCAGGUUCAGUUCCUGACCUUUGCACAGACUUAAAUGUAGCCAAAACAUCCCACGUAUAUAAGAAUGUAAGUGUUUUUAAGGACUUAUAGUGACUAGGGGAAAUUUUUGACUUUUCACAUGUGGGCACACAGCCCUAAAAAUUUACACUAGGGAUUUUAUCCUCAUCAGGUUUUUUCAUUUGAUUUUAAUGUUUCUGGAGAUCAUCUUUAAAAUCUGACAGACAUCACAGGAUACUUUCCAGCUAGCUAUCUGAAUACUUCAAUGAAUCUUAAAAUCUCUGCAUAAGAGCGUCAGUUUGUCUAGUGUUUUUAAAAUAUACAUAUCCUCAACGGGACUGUAAUGUCACUUUCCAAGCACAGUGAUUAUUUCAAGACAUGGGUGCUAUGCUGGGUGCCAGGCUCUGGCCAUAGUCUCAGCUUCUGUUGGUGCUGCCCGUUCUGCCCACAUCACUCUAUUCCUCAGGGAGGGUCCUUGCUCUGCAGUUAAGGACCUGAUCCAGGGCAAGGCUGCCUAGCCAAGGAGCCAGGAUUCUCACUGUGCUGCCAGGGGCUGAGAGGCCCUCACAGAGCACCUCAGAUGCAAGCUCUUCCUAGUGAGGGCGUACCAGCAAGUGUGUAAUAAAGUCACCUUUACAAGACAGGUCGUGUUUGUCUUCACUUUCUCACCAAAAUAGGCUUUUCCACAUCAAAUAUGUAAUGGAAAGGAUCAUUCGUUGUGAGAGGGUAAUUUUUUAAUUUGCACCAAGCUGUUUUCAUGUAAUUUUGUGUACACACACACACAGGGCUGUACAAUGGUUCAGUAAGGUUCCUAAAAGUUGUCUUCUGACCCCCUACGUUCUUUCUGUUUAAUGCCUAUCCCUGCAUUCAUACAAAUCACAUACAUAAAAUACUAAGAUAUGAAGUAAUGUACAUUUGAGAGAACAUAACAUACAAAUUGUGUUACCUUGAUGAGUUUAAUAAGAUUAUAACCUCGGUAGCAGUCUUCCAUGUUCUUCAUUUCUGGCUUUCCCAGGAUGCAACUCUCAGCACUUUCAAACAUAGUUUAUUGGUUGUAAUGAUAGUGAUUUUUGUCUGGUUUUCUUCAUGCCGUCUGAUGUGUGUGUAUGCUGUUAUGAGUGACGGCGUCCUUCUGUUUGCUCUUCAGUGUUCAUCUGUUCCCAGUCUUGAUUUGUGAAUUCUUUUGGUGACGGUUGGAUUGCUUUUCAGAUAUAAGUCAUAUGAGUACCUAAUUCAGCUGUCAGCCAACAGAAGCAUGUGUGUUAGCUAGCAUCUGCACACAUUUCUAUUGUACACUCUUGUAUGUAUUGGAUUGAGAAGAGUUAUAAAAUACACAGAUGCUCAUAUUAGUAGAUGAUGCCAAAUGUUUCUAGAACUCUAGGCCUGUUUAAACUCUUAUCCUAUGAAUAUAGUCAUUUUAUGUUUGACAAUUUGAUUUUGUUUUUUUUGUUUUGGGUUUUUUGCUUAAAUCUCUGUUAGUAAAAUUAACAACAGCAUCCAAAGUUGGUGGUGUGUCUACAAUCCCUGUAUUCGGGAAGCAAGUUUUUUGUUAUGCUAGCCAGAGGUACAUAACAAAUUAACUUCUAAAUAGAGGGACAAACAGACAGGCAGACAGAACCAACCAGGCAGACAGGUUGGAUCGUGUGCACUUAUAACCCCCAGAAUUCAGUAGAGAGACUGGAGAUUUCACUAUUAAUUCAAGGGCAGGUAGGACUACAUAAUAAAACUUGUCUUUAAAGAGGAAAAGGAAGCUGAUUGGUGGCCCACGCCUUUAACCCCAGCACCCGGGAGGCAGAGGCAGAUGGAUCUGAGUUUGAGGCCAGCCUGGUCUACAGAGUGGAUUCUACAAUGGCCACAGUUACAUAGAAAGACUGACUCACCCCCCCCCCCCCC
RNAcentral lists this long non-coding RNA (2831 nucleotides) under Mus musculus (house mouse). RNAcentral's name for it is "long non-coding RNA chr9:110222352-110225183". Lineage: Eukaryota; Metazoa; Chordata; Mammalia; Rodentia; Muridae. The record is from RNAcentral.